Molecule: ribosomal RNA, 492 nt
Filed under: uncultured bacterium
Lineage: Bacteria
Description: partial 16S ribosomal RNA
Rfam family: Bacterial small subunit ribosomal RNA
Source: RNAcentral
AGUGAACGCUGGCGGUAGGCCUAACACAUGCAAGUCGAACGGCAGCACAGUAAGAGCUCGCUCUUACGGGUGCCGAGUGGCGGAUGGGUGAGGAAAACGUCGGAAUCUAUUUUUUAGAGGGGGACAAAGGCGGGAAUCAUACGCUAUACGCGCUUACGACCUAAGGGUGAAAGCAGAGGGCCUUCGGACAUUGCGCGAUCGAAUGAGCCGAUGUCGGAUUAGCUAGUUGGCGGGGUAAAGGCCCACCAAGGCGACGAUCCGUAGCUGGUCUGAGAGGAUGAUCAGCCACACUGGAACUGAGACACGGCCCAGACUCCUACGGGAGGCAGCAGUGGGGAAUAUUGGACAAUGGGCGCAAGCCUGAUCCAGCCAUACCGCGUGGGUGAAGAAGGCCUUCGGGUUGUAAAGCCCUUUUGUUCGGAAAGAAAAGCAGCAGGUUAAUACCCCGCUGUGCUGACGGUACCCAAAGAAUAAGCACCGGCUAACUUCGUG